UUGAACGCUGGCGGAAUGCUUUACACAUGCAAGUCGAGCGGCAGCGCGGGGGCAACCCUGGCGGCGAGCGGCGAACGGGUGAGUAACACAUCGGAACGUACCCAGUUGAGGGGGAUAACACAUCGAAAGAUGUGCUAAUACCGCAUACGACCUGAGGGUGAAAGUGGGGGAUCGCAAGACCUCACGCAGUUGGAGCGGCCGAUGUCGGAUUAGCUAGUUGGUGGGGUAAAGGCCUACCAAGGCGACGAUCCGUAGCUGGUCUGAGAGGACGACCAGCCACACUGGGACUGAGACACGGCCCAGACUCCUACGGGAGGCAGCAGUGGGGAAUUUUGGACAAUGGGCGCAAGCCUGAUCCAGCCAUUCCGCGUGAGUGAAGAAGGCCUUCGGGUUGUAAAGCUCUUUCAGACGGAAAGAAAUCGGGCGCGUGAAUAGCGUGCCUGGAUGACGGUACUGUCAGAAGAAGCACCGGCUAACUACGU
RNAcentral lists this ribosomal RNA (482 nucleotides) under uncultured bacterium. RNAcentral describes it as "bacterial SSU rRNA". It matches the Rfam family "Bacterial small subunit ribosomal RNA", at positions 29 to 506 of the family's 1533-position model. The record is from RNAcentral.